Molecule: ribosomal RNA, 100 nt
Filed under: Escherichia coli
Lineage: Bacteria; Pseudomonadati; Pseudomonadota; Gammaproteobacteria; Enterobacterales; Enterobacteriaceae
Description: partial 16S ribosomal RNA
Rfam family: Bacterial small subunit ribosomal RNA
Source: RNAcentral
UUAAAUUGAAGAGUUUGAUCAUGGCUCAGAUUGAACGCUGGCGGCAGGCCUAACACAUGCAAGUCGAACGGUGACAGGAAGCAGCUUGCUGCUUUGCUGA